This 281-nucleotide ribosomal RNA is filed under the name uncultured bacterium. RNAcentral's name for it is "partial 16S ribosomal RNA". It matches the Rfam family "Bacterial small subunit ribosomal RNA", at positions 334 to 629 of the family's 1533-position model. The record is from RNAcentral.
UGCUCCUACGGGACGCAGCAGUGGGGAAUAUUGGACAAUGGGGGGAACCCUGAUCCAGCGACGCCGCGUGAGUGAAGAAGUAUUUCGGUAUGUAAAGCUCAAUCAGCAGGGAAGAAAGAAAUGACGGUACCUGACUAAGAAGCCCCGGCUAACUACGUGCCAGCAGCCGCGGUAAUGCGUAGGGGGCAAGCGUUAUCCGGAUUUACUGGGUGUAAAGGGAGCGUAGACGGCGAUGCAAGUCUGAAGUGAAAGGCGGGCGCCCAACCCCCGGACUGCUUUGG